This 484-nucleotide ribosomal RNA is filed under the name uncultured bacterium. RNAcentral describes it as "partial 16S ribosomal RNA". It matches the Rfam family "Bacterial small subunit ribosomal RNA", at positions 30 to 507 of the family's 1533-position model. The record is from RNAcentral.
AUUGAACGCUGGCGGCAGGCCUAACACAUGCAAGUCGAGCGGCAGCACGGUGCUUGCUUCUUGAUACAGCGGCCGACGGGUGGAUGAGUGCUAAAAACCUGCCUGUUAACGUGUGCUUAGGUCCGGACACAGGGGCACAUACGGCAAUAGUCCAUAGGGCCUACGGGGGGAAUCUUGGGAUCUCACGCCCUCACAUGAGCCUAGGUCGCAUUAGCUAGUUGGUGGGGUAAAGGCCUACCAAGGCGACGAUCCGUAACUGGUCUGAGAGGAUGAUCAGUCACACUGGAACUGAGACACGGUCCAGACUCCUACGGGAGGCAGCAGUGGGGAAUAUUGGACAAUGGGCGAAAGCCUGAUCCAGCCAUGCCGCGUGUGUGAAGAAGGUCUUCGGAUUGUAAAGCACUUUAGGUUGGGAGGAAGAGCAGUAAGUUAAUACCUUGCUGUUUUGACGGUACCAACAGAAUAAGCACCGGCUAACUUCGUG